GGCCAGACUCCUACGGGAGGCAGCAGUGGGGAAUAUUGCACAAUGGGGGAAACCCUGAUGCAGCGACGCCGCGUGAGUGAAGAAGUAUUUCGGUAUGUAAAGCUCUAUCAGCAGGGAAGAAAAUGACGGUACCUGACUAAGAAGCCCCGGCCAACUACGUGCCAGCAGCCGCGGUAAUACGUAGGGGGCAAGCGUUAUCCGGAUUUACUGGGUGUAAAGGGAGCGUAGACGGCAUGGCAAGUCAGAUGUGAAAGCCCGGGGCUCAACCCCGGGACUGCAUUUGAAACUGUCAGGCUGGAGUGCAGGAGAGGUAAGUGGAAUUCCUAGUGUAGCGGUGAAAUGCGUAGAUAUUAGGAGGAACACCAGUGGCGAAGGCGGCUUACUGGACUGUAACUGACGUUGAGGCUCGAAAGCGUGGGGAGCAAACAGGAUUAGAUACCCUAGUA
Molecule: ribosomal RNA, 446 nt
Filed under: uncultured bacterium
Lineage: Bacteria
Description: bacterial SSU rRNA
Rfam family: Bacterial small subunit ribosomal RNA
Source: RNAcentral